AGCAGCGUAGCUCAGUUGGAAGAGCGCUGGGCUCAUAACUCAGAGGUCCCUUGAUCGAAACUUGGCGCUGCUA
Rozella allomycis CSF55 is the source of this 73-nucleotide transfer RNA. It matches the Rfam family "tRNA". From Rfam's summary of the family: Transfer RNA (tRNA) molecules are approximately 80 nucleotides in length. Their secondary structure includes four short double-helical elements and three loops (D, anti-codon, and T loops). Further hydrogen bonds mediate the characteristic L-shaped molecular structure. tRNAs have two regions of fundamental functional importance: the anti-codon, which is responsible for specific mRNA codon recognition, and the 3' end, to which the tRNAs corresponding amino acid is attached (by aminoacyl-tRNA synthetases). tRNAs cope with the degeneracy of the genetic code in two manners: having more than one tRNA (with a specific anti-codon) for a particular amino acid; and 'wobble' base-pairing, i.e. permitting non-standard base-pairing at the 3rd anti-codon position. Lineage: Eukaryota; Fungi; Rozellomycota. The record is from Rfam.